Molecule: ribosomal RNA, 253 nt
Filed under: uncultured bacterium
Lineage: Bacteria
Description: partial 16S ribosomal RNA
Rfam family: Bacterial small subunit ribosomal RNA
Source: RNAcentral
GACGAGGGACCCUAGCGUUGUUCGGAAUCAUUGGGCGUAAAGCGGGUGUAGGUGGCUUUGUAAGUCAGGUGUGAAAUCCCUGGGCUCAACCCAGGACGUGCAUCUGAUACUGCGAAGCUUGAGUGCCGGAGAGGUUACUGGAAUACCUGGUGUAGUGGUGAAAUACGUAGAUAUCAGGUGGAACACCGGAGGCGAAGGCGGGUAACUGGCCGGACACUGACACUCAGACCCUAAAGCGUGGGGAUCAAACAGG